RNAcentral lists this long non-coding RNA (1303 nucleotides) under Homo sapiens (human). RNAcentral's name for it is "non-protein coding lnc-SMARCA5-4:10". Lineage: Eukaryota; Metazoa; Chordata; Mammalia; Primates; Hominidae. The record is from RNAcentral.
GAGGAAAGCCCAGCGACGCCGGGCCAGCGCAUUCUUAUUUUAUGUAUGAGCAAACUAUGGAAUGGAAAAGAGAUUAUGAGUUAUUACUUGAUUUGAUUUGCCCUAAGUGUUUUUUAAACGAAGAUCUGGCAAGAGUUAGCGUGCAGUUCUACAUUGUGACAAUUCAUGAGAGCUAAGGACUGGCUGUCUCUUGGGACAAAUAGGCUUUCUUGAGUCUGCAUGAGGCCCUCACCAGAUACAGCCACCUGAUCUUGGACUUCACAGCCUCCAGAAAUUUCCUAGGAAAGAAGUUGUUUCAACUCUCAUUGGAGGAAGUAUAAGGUGAUCUCAGGGAAGGGGAGAAGGGCUGGUUGCCUGCCAAAUCUAUGAUCAAGUCGGCUCCACAGUCACUUUGCUUCCACUUCUAAGUGAGAACAUACAGUGUUUGGUUUUUCAUUCCUGAGUUACUUCACCUAGAACAAUGGCCUCCAGCUCCAUCCAAGUUGCUGCAGAAGACAUUUCAUUCCUUUUAUGGCUGAGUAGUAUUCCAUGUCCAGUGAUUCAAGUUUGACACACCACACCACGGUGGAUGUGCCUUGUCAUGACACAUCUUCUCAGCAGCACUAGAAGAUACAUCCAAAGUCCUGUGAGCAAGGACACAGCGAGAAGAUGGCUGUCUACAAGCCAGGAAGAGAGUCCUCACCAGAACCAAACCCUGCUGGACUUUGAUCUUGGACUUCCCAGCCUCUAAAACUGUGAAGACAUAAAUUUCUGUUGUUAAACCCACACAGGUCUGUGGUAUCUGUUUAUUAUGGCAGCCCAGUAAGACUAAGACAGGCCAUCACAAGACAUGAAUGUUUUGGACCUUCUCUUGGGCCCUAGUAAACAGAAAUCAGGUACGCAAAAGGGGUAAGCAUAUAAUUUCCUUUAUUUUUAUUUUUAAUGUGUAAGCCUUAGGUUUUUAUUUAUUUAUUUGGUGAAGACAAUCACAUUGUGUACGUACAAUGUAAUUAUAUUGUUGACGAGAAGUUACUUAAAAUUUUUUAAAAAUUCUAAUCGAUUUCUAGAUGUCCAAAUGAGAAGAUAGCAUUUAUAUACCAUCAGAACAUAAAAUAAUUCAAAAAAAUAAAUUUAUAAAACAAUAUGUAUUAUAUUGAGAGAAAGAGAGGGAGAGAGUAUUGGAAGAAUAUAUGCAAAUACAAUGUGAUAAUGUGAUGUCUUUGUGAGAAUGCUAUAUGUCAUUUUCUUUGUUUAUAUGAAUUUUUACAAUUUUUACCUUUGAAAUAUAAAAAAGAGAGAAUAAAAGUCAUUGAAAAAAUCAAAA